CCUACGGGUGGCAGCAGUGAGGAAUAUUGGUCAAUGGCCGUAAGGCUGAACCAGCCAAGUAGCGUGAGGGAAGACUGCCCUAUGGGUUGUAAACCUCUUUUGUGCGGGGAUAAAGGUGUCCACGUGUGGAUGUUUGCAGGUACCGCAUGAAUAAGGACCGGCUAAUUCCGUGCCAGCAGCCGCGGUAAUACGGAAGGUCCGGGCGUUAUCCGGAUUUAUUGGGUUUAAAGGGAGCGUAGGCGGGUCUUUAAGCGUGCCGUGAAAUCUUGUGGCUCAACCAUGGGAGUGCGGCGCGAACUGGAGGCCUUGAGUGCGCGGAAGGCAGGCGGAAUGCGUGGUGUAGCGGUGAAAUGCUUAGAUAUCACGCAGAACCCCGAUUGCGAAGGCAGCCUGCCGAAGCGUUACUGACGCUGAGGCUCGAAAGCGCGGGGAUCGAACAGGAUUAGAUACCCGGGUAGUC
Molecule: ribosomal RNA, 460 nt
Filed under: uncultured bacterium
Lineage: Bacteria
Description: partial 16S ribosomal RNA
Rfam family: Bacterial small subunit ribosomal RNA
Source: RNAcentral